UACAGAGGGUGCGAGCGUUGUCCGGAAUCACUGGGCGUAAAGGGCGCGUAGGUGGCGACCCAAGUCUGUGGUGAAAGCUCGCCGCUUAACGGCGAGUCGGCCACGGAUACUGGGUGGCUCGAGCACUGUAGGGGCAGGUGGAAUUCCGGGUGUAGCGGUGGAAUGCGUAGAGAUCCGGAAGAACACCGGUGGCGAAGGCGGGUCUCUGGGCCGAUACUGACGCUGAGGAGCGAAAGCGUGGGGAGCGAACAGG
Molecule: ribosomal RNA, 253 nt
Filed under: uncultured bacterium
Lineage: Bacteria
Description: partial 16S ribosomal RNA
Rfam family: Bacterial small subunit ribosomal RNA
Source: RNAcentral